This 465-nucleotide ribosomal RNA is filed under the name uncultured bacterium. Its description in RNAcentral is "partial 16S ribosomal RNA". It matches the Rfam family "Bacterial small subunit ribosomal RNA", at positions 29 to 507 of the family's 1533-position model. The record is from RNAcentral.
AUGAACGCUGGCGGCGUGCUUAACACAUGCCAGUCGAACGAUGAAGCCCAGCUUGUUGGGUGGAUUAGUGGCGAACGGGUGAGUAACACGUGAGUAACCUGCCCUUAACUCUGGGAUAAGCCUGGGAAACUGGGUCUAAUACCGGAUAGGAGCGUCCACCGCAUGGUGGGUGUUGGAAAGAUUUAUCGGUUUUGGAUGGACUCGCGGCCUAUCAGCUUGUUGGUGAGGUAAUGGCUCACCAAGGCGACGACGGGUAGCCGGCCUGAGAGGGUGACCGGCCACACUGGGACUGAGACACGGCCCAGACUCCUACGGGAGGCAGCAGUGGGGAAUAUUGCACAAUGGGCGAAAGCCUGAUGCAGCGACGCCGCGUGAGGGAUGACGGCCUUCGGGUUGUAAACCUCUUUCAGUAGGGAAGAAGCGAAAGUGACGGUACCUGCAGAAGAAGCACCGGCUAACUACGUG